CUCUCACUUUCACAGCCAGAAAAUCAGAGCCAUGUUGGGAACCAAAGGCCCAGGAAAGGAGAUGCCCUACGGUCUCCAGGAGGGCUACCGUGGCCUUUUGUGAAGUCCUAUGAGACCCCUGAGGGUCCCUAGAAAAGGAGAGGCUGGGACAGCUGGAGACUAAGACCAGAAUGACUGAAGGAAGAACUUGAGCAUGGAAUGGGGGCUGCAUGCUUGUACCCAUCACGUGUGACCAACACCUGUGCCGUCACGUGCAUACAGCACCUGCACCUCACGCAUGAACCCAAGAGGUCCUUGGCUGUCCUCCAGCACGACGGUCCAGCCCCAACCUCUUCAUGCUUCAGCACUGACUGCGGCAUCAUCUGACCCGCCCACACAUUUAAACAGCCUGGAUAUGAGCACAUUUCCUCACCCGGGCCACACAGGUGCAACUGCAUUUCCUAAAGCACACCCACUACAAGCUCAACCCCUCCGGGGACAGAAAGACACAGCUGCCAUGAGUCACCAUGGGAUGUUAGGCAAGUUAAAGUCAGUUAAGCCUCAGUUUUCUCAUCUACAAAAUGGGAAGUAAUAUUAAUACCCAACAGUGCAAGGCUCUCAUGGGGAUGAAAGGAGCUAAUACACUACAGUCAAAAUGUCCUCUAGUGAAAGUGAAAGUUGCUCAGUCGUGUCCGACUCUUUGCGACCCCAUGAACUAUACAGUCCAUGGAAUACUCCAGGCCAGAAUACUGGAGUGGGUAGCCCUUCCCUUCUCCAGGGGAUCUUCUCAACCCAGGGAUCGAACCCAGGUAGCCUUUAGCAAAUGCUCAAUAAAUAAUAGCUCUGCUCAGAAACCCUCUGAAAGUGGGGGUUAACCUGUUGAGGAAAUGGGGACUCUAUGUCAACAGGCAUUUUCCACAAUCAGGCUUUAUAAAAAGUCCAAGGACACAUAAUUUGUAUUCCAUUCCUUAUAUGGUUUGGGAAGAAAUGAGUAAAAUAAAGACUUAUUUCUGAUUUUUCACUGUUGUGUCCCCAGUGCCUGGGAAACACAGUAAAAGCUGGAGUGUAGACUUAAUUAAAUGAUGUGGCCUUUAUGCUUAAACCUACUGAACACAACCAACCCUACUGUUCUGUCUUAGCCACAACUACACGACAGGCUACUCACAAUGGUGGUGACCAAAAAGUAUAAUGGAUUUCCACUGAGUCAGCCAUUAUAUCAGGAAAUGAGAAGGAAAUGUUUGAGAGGCUUCCUGAGUGACAGAAGUACCAUCAACCAGGAUCAUCUCAUGGUCAACCUCUGAAAUUAACCCAUAAAACUUAAAGGGGGAAAUUGCAUCUAAACAUCAAAGGAAGACAGGAAGUUUUUGGGUUUUUUUGUUUUUUUUUUUUUUUAAUUUUUUUUUGGGGGGGGGGAAGUUUUUGUUUUAAAUUGUGUCUUGAAGAAAGAUUCUUUCCAUUUCCAUAUCGGCUUCUCCAUGUGUGCUGACCUACAGUGAAAUCAUAGCCUUGUGUUUUUGAAAACAGAUUCCGCAGCUAUGGAAACAAAAGUUGUCGCUUACGCUGACUUCACUGUAGGAUCAAGUGAGAAGAAACAUCUCAGCUUGGACACGGCUACUUAGCUACAAAUAUUGUUCUUUGCAAUAAAAUGUGCUUAACUGCAAUCAAUAAAUAAAACCCUUAAAUUCCUAAUCCUCUAGAUAAACUGUACCACAUAAAAGUUCAUUUGGCUAACAAUUCAUACUUUAGGCACAUGUG
RNAcentral lists this long non-coding RNA (1734 nucleotides) under Cervus hanglu yarkandensis (Yarkand deer). Its description in RNAcentral is "lncRNA (ENSCHYG00000025544.1)". The record is from RNAcentral. Lineage: Eukaryota; Metazoa; Chordata; Mammalia; Artiodactyla; Cervidae.